GUGGCUAUAGUUCAGUUGGCAGAACGCCGGACUGUGACUCCGGACGUCGUGGGUUCAAGUCCCACUAGCCACCCCA
RNAcentral lists this transfer RNA (76 nucleotides) under Geotoga petraea. RNAcentral describes it as "tRNA-His". It matches the Rfam family "tRNA". Rfam says of the family: Transfer RNA (tRNA) molecules are approximately 80 nucleotides in length. Their secondary structure includes four short double-helical elements and three loops (D, anti-codon, and T loops). Further hydrogen bonds mediate the characteristic L-shaped molecular structure. tRNAs have two regions of fundamental functional importance: the anti-codon, which is responsible for specific mRNA codon recognition, and the 3' end, to which the tRNAs corresponding amino acid is attached (by aminoacyl-tRNA synthetases). tRNAs cope with the degeneracy of the genetic code in two manners: having more than one tRNA (with a specific anti-codon) for a particular amino acid; and 'wobble' base-pairing, i.e. permitting non-standard base-pairing at the 3rd anti-codon position. Lineage: Bacteria; Thermotogati; Thermotogota; Thermotogae; Petrotogales; Petrotogaceae. The record is from RNAcentral. RNAcentral also lists the same sequence under 1 other name.